UACGGAGGGAGCUAGCGUUGUUCGGAAUUACUGGGCGUAAAGCGCACGUAGGCGGCUUUCUAAGUCGGGGGUGAAAUCCUGGAGCUCAACUCCAGAACUGCCUUUGAUACUGAGAGCUUGAGUCCGGGAGAGGUGAGUGGAACUGCGAGUGUAGAGGUGAAAUUCGUAGAUAUUCGCAAGAACACCAGUGGCGAAGGCGGCUCACUGGCCCGGUACUGACGCUGAGGUGCGAAAGCGUGGGAGCAA
Molecule: ribosomal RNA, 246 nt
Filed under: uncultured bacterium
Lineage: Bacteria
Description: partial 16S ribosomal RNA
Rfam family: Bacterial small subunit ribosomal RNA
Source: RNAcentral